This 253-nucleotide ribosomal RNA is filed under the name uncultured bacterium. RNAcentral's name for it is "partial 16S ribosomal RNA". It matches the Rfam family "Archaeal small subunit ribosomal RNA", at positions 474 to 727 of the family's 1478-position model. The record is from RNAcentral.
UACCAGCACCCCGAGUGGUCGGGACGUUUAUUGGGCCUAAAGCAUCCGUAGCCGGUUCUACAAGUCUUCCGUUAAAUCCACCUGCUUAACAGAUGGGCUGCGGAAGAUACUAUAGAGCUAGGAGGCGGGAGAGGCAAGCGGUACUCGAUGGGUAGGGGUAAAAUCCGUUGAUCCAUUGAAGACCACCAGUGGCGAAGGCGGCUUGCCAGAACGCGCUCGACGGGGAGGGAUGAAAGCUGGGGGAGCAAACCGG